CUUGUGCUUGAGCUUGGAGCUUCCAGCUUUUGAAAUUGAUUCACCAGCACCAGGCUAAUAUGAAUCAAAAUUAUGGAAGUUUUAUCAUUCCUCAAGCUAGAGGUCGAAAGAGAAAAACAAAUCCAGAAGAAUGGGCAAAAAUAAGAAGAAAAGAGUAAGACAUUUUCAACAAUCACGUCGAUGGAAUCAUCCGGAUACUCCUUACACUGGACCAUUCAAUACCUAGAAGGGGGGUUAGGGGUGGCCGGGGAAGGGCAGAGGUAGGAGGUUGGAGAGGAAGAGGUGGAAGGGGAAGAGGGGGAAGGGGAAGAGGAAGAGGAGGAAGAGGUGGUGGGGGACCAAAUAACGGGAGAGUCGACAGACUAGAAGAAGUUAACCGGGAUAGAAUUGAUGACUCUGAAGAAGGAAUUAGAGUAGAAACCCGUAUCCCCCUACUCCGGAAAGAAGAUCUUGUAAGAUAUCUUGUAAGAAAAUGUAUUUAGUUUUAUGUAUAAAAGUUAAUAGUACAUUAUAUGUGUUGUUAAUCUAAAA
Long non-coding RNA from Macrosteles quadrilineatus (aster leafhopper), 531 nucleotides. RefSeq lists it as uncharacterized. The transcript has 3 exons. NCBI's taxonomy places the organism in Eukaryota, Metazoa, Arthropoda, Insecta, Hemiptera, Cicadellidae. The record is from RefSeq and is a predicted model, not a curated record.